RNAcentral lists this ribosomal RNA (701 nucleotides) under uncultured bacterium. Its description in RNAcentral is "bacterial SSU rRNA". It matches the Rfam family "Bacterial small subunit ribosomal RNA", at positions 68 to 815 of the family's 1533-position model. The record is from RNAcentral.
GAGACCUUCGGGUCUAGCGGCGGACGGGUUAGUAACGCGUGGGAACGUACCCUUUUCUACGGAAUAGCCUUUGGAAACGAAGAGUAAUACCGUAUACGCCCUUCGGGGGAAAGAUUUAUCGGAGAAGGAUCGGCCCGCGUUAGAUUAGAUAGUUGGUGGGGUAAUGGCCUACCAAGUCUACGAUCUAUAGCUGGUUUUAGAGGAUGAUCAGCAACACUGGGACUGAGACACGGCCCAGACUCCUACGGGAGGCAGCAGUGGGGAAUCUUAGACAAUGGGCGCAAGCCUGAUCUAGCCAUGCCGCGUGAGUGAAGAAGGCCUUAGGGUCGUAAAGCUCUUUCGCCAGGGAUGAUAAUGACAGUACCUGGUAAAGAAACCCCGGCUAACUCCGUGCCAGCAGCCGCGGUAAUACGGAGGGGGUUAGCGUUGUUCGGAAUUACUGGGCGUAAAGCGCACGUAGGCGGAUUAGAAAGUUAGAGGUGAAAUCCCAGGGCUCAACCCUGGAACUGCCUUUAAAACUCCUAGUCUUGAGUUCGAGAGAGGUGAGUGGAAUUCCAAGUGUAGAGGUGAAAUUCGUAGAUAUUUGGAGGAACACCAGUGGCGAAGGCGGCUCACUGGCUCGAUACUGACGCUGAGGUGCGAAAGUGUGGGGAGCAAACAGGAUUAGAUACCCUGGUAGUCCACACCGUAAACGAUGAAUG